RNAcentral lists this ribosomal RNA (433 nucleotides) under uncultured bacterium. RNAcentral describes it as "partial 16S ribosomal RNA". It matches the Rfam family "Bacterial small subunit ribosomal RNA", at positions 29 to 507 of the family's 1533-position model. The record is from RNAcentral.
AACGAACGCUGGCGGCAUGCCUAACACAUGCAAGUCGAACGAGACCUUCGGGUCUAGUGGCGCACGGGUGCGUAACGCGUGGGAACCUGCCCUUAGGUUCGGAAUAACUCCCCGAAAGGGGUGCUAAUACCGGAUAAUGUCUUCGGACCAAAGAUUUAUCGCCUUUGGAUGGGCCCGCGUUUGGUUAGCUAGUUGGUAGGGUAAAAGCCUACCAAGGCGACGAUCCAUAGCUGGUCUGAGAGGAUGAUCAGCCACACUGGGACUGAGACACGGCCCAGACUCCUACGGGAGGCAGCAGUGGGGAAUAUUGGACAAUGGGCGAAAGCAUGAUCCAGCAAUGCCGCGUGAGUGAUGAAGGCCCUAGGGUUGUAAAGCUCUUUUACCCGGGAUGAUAAUGACAGUACCGGGAGAAUAAGCUCCGGCUAACUCCGUG